CCUGGUGGCGAGUGGCGGACGGGUGAGUAACGCGUAGGAAUCUACCCAGUAGCGGGGGAUAGCCCGGGGAAACUCGGAUUAAUACCGCAUACGCCCUAAGGGGGAAAGGGGGGGAUCGCAAGACCUCUCACUAUUGGAGCGGCCGAUGGCUGAUUAGCUAGUUGGUGGGGUAAAGGCCUACCAAGGCAACGAUCAGUAGCUGGUCUGAGAGGACGACCAGCCACACUGGGACUGAGACACGACCCAGACUCC
RNAcentral lists this ribosomal RNA (252 nucleotides) under uncultured bacterium. RNAcentral's name for it is "partial 16S ribosomal RNA". It matches the Rfam family "Bacterial small subunit ribosomal RNA", at positions 84 to 339 of the family's 1533-position model. The record is from RNAcentral.